Molecule: long non-coding RNA, 147 nt
Organism: Euleptes europaea (tarantolino)
Lineage: Eukaryota; Metazoa; Chordata; Lepidosauria; Squamata; Sphaerodactylidae
Exons: 3
Source: RefSeq, a predicted model, not a curated record
GGGUCCUCUUGGCCUUCCAGGACGCCCUGGAGAGCGAGGAAUGAAAGGAGAAGCUGGAGAAUCGGGCCGGAAUGGAGCUACGGGAGAGAAGGGCGACAAGGGAGAAUCCGGACCACCUGGGCCUCGGGGAAUUCCUGGGAGGACUGU